CUUCCCCUCAGUUACCUUCUCGUCCUGUUUGGGUUUUGGUAUGAUCAAUAAUGGAGAGAGAAUGUACAAAAAGUAUCUGAAAUUCAGACACCCAGAUUCGAGUGUGUCUCAGCCACUGUGUUGUAGUGCUGCGCGGUGUUGUGCUUCCAUUGUUAGGACGCGCACGUUGACUUAGACGCAGAGGUGUGGGGGUCCCGUCACAGAGCACUGGUUUCGGAGGUGGCUUCGCUGCCUCUGGGACCCUUUGGCAUGCCGAAUGCAUCAGGGUGAGAUGUACCGGGUACACAGAUUUGCACCCCAACAGACGUCGGAUGUAGAAAACACAUGACUCCGCACACAGAUAUACUUGGCUCUUUGCAGUAUUGCUACUGGUUCUUGCAUAGGACAUGAGAAUUCUGAUCAAAUCUAUUAUGUGUCAUUCCCAGAGGAAAAAAAAUGUGUGUUUAUAGUUGUGUUCACUGCGUUAUGGAGUAUAUUCUUUGCAGGAGGACCUUCUGUCCUGAUUAGGCAUUGAUAAGAACUGACUCCUCCACUUAACAUCUCACAGCUCUGGUAACCGGGAGAAUUUUCCACCAGCCACCUUCAUGUGUUUCAAACUUUGCUUCCCCCCAACUUCUCAUGCACUUCUGUCACCAGGCACUCUGGGACCCAUUCACAUCCCUGAAACCUCUGGCCCCACACCCUUGACUACACAGAGAAGCCACUGAGCCAUGUCCACAACAGCCCACUACACCUAAACUAAGUGUAGGCAUCUGACAGCAGAAAGGGAGCAGAAAGAGACCGUAGUCUCAGCGAUCUGCGGUGGAAGAGCUUAAUUUUUCAAAAUUUACAAAAACAUGAGCACAUUGCUGGGACCCGCCUAGGGGCCCAGGCUAGUGAGGGACCCUCCAUGGUGGUUCCAACUCCACUUAGUUCUCCCCUCUCCCCCAUGAUGGGAGCUGCCCUCCAAAACACACCAAGCCCCCUUCCACUCCCACAUCUAGCCCACAGGCCUUCCCCUUCAACCACCUCCCCUUGUCUCCACUCUGUUCUUCCCCACAGAUACUUCUGGCAUGUACAGCCGUGGCGUCUGCCCAUGGCCCCAAUGAGGCCUCCAAGCGCAAAGCCAGCAACACGGCAGCCGUGGUAAAGGCUCUAGACGGUCACCCAUUAGUCAUUUGUGUUACUAUUGCAUUAUUUUUGAGUCAGUGUUGCCUCUUUUUAACUUAUGCUCAUUAUCCUGUCCUCCGUGUUUCAGAUGAGAGCCCUUCAGGUCGGGCCCACCUGUCUCACCAGCCUCUCUGGACUCAGCCUCCUGGGUUUGUCCACAACAGCCUCUGUCAGUGCUGCUCAGGGCGCCGGUUGGCACAGAGGCGAGGCAGAACGGAAGUCCUCUGCAUUGCAGCGCACGCUGUCGAGAUGAUUCCACGGCUCUGUUGUGUUUGUGUUGCCAUCGGGGCUCUCGUUCAUUGGCGCCCAGAGAAAGUCCGGACUGUUCCCUGGGUGUUGGAUGCCUGUGUCCGGAUCCAGCGCUCGUCUCCCUGCUCUCGGCUCCUCUGGUUCCCUGUGCUCCGUGCCCCUGCGUCCUCGGGCUUCCACUGGAGAUGAGGCCGAGGCCGAGAGUUCUAUGAGAUCAGCAACCAUUCCUGUUGUUUAUAUUGCUAACGGCACGUGGACCGCGGCUUGACAUGGCUAUUCUGAACAUUUCUACCUAAGUUAACCGGCCGUCCAGCCCACCUGGCAGCACCACAGAAUGGCAAAACAGUGUCUUUAUCUUUCUCAUUCAUCACCUUGUCUGCCUCUUCUUCUCUCAUUGCACCUCCUGGGGGCCCACUACAUACCCUAGCAAUGCCUAGGAGGGUACCGGGUCCGCGCCCGGAGUGCACGUGACGAAUGACCACAGUACAGGGCUACCGCAUGUACAUGAAGAGCCAUGGGAGGAAAGAGGAGGGAGACAGUACCCAUCCCGUGGCUCCCCGAGGAGGUGGCUCCAGAGACAACCUUCAGCACCUGUUCACAGAGAUAGAACACAGGUGGGAGGAGGCAUGUGGGGUAGGUGGUGGUUUCGUGCUGAAGACUUUGGACUUGAUCCUAACAUCAAAGUGAACCACGGAAGGAGCCGAGCCAUGGAGGGACUGUCACAUAUGGUGCCUAGAGAUGUCCCUCUGGCCUCUGGUUAGACAUGGAGGGUGGGACAUUUGUAGUCACCUCUGCUCCUCCCAGAGCCCCUCACAGAUGGUGGUAGAGAUGAUACAUGUGUGUCUCACACAGAAUGAAGGAACGAGACAAGAAAGCCGGAGGAGGGAGCAGUGAACCGAGUGUCGGGUGGCAGGAAGCAGACGGACAGGCAGCAGCGGGCCUUCCCUUAGUCUUCCGUGCAGUCACAGCCCCCAGCUGGGGCCCUGUCCAGCGCCCUUGGGAAUUCGAAUGACAGAAGGAGGUACUAAAAUGCCAACUGUAAAGUUUUUGUGAUUUGUGGGUGAGGGCCCAGCAGUGUCAGCAUCUAUAGGUCUUUGAAAGUGGUCUGUCUCUAGAGAGGAACUUUACAGGUAAGGAAACUGAGGCCCACAGAAGUCAAUCUCCCCAAGGCUCCAUAGUGUGACAGUGGAGCAGGGAUUCAGACCAGUGCCCGUAAAGACAUGAAAAGAUAAUCUCUUCUAAUUUUUAUCUUUAAACAUCUAUAAAUGAAAUAAUUAUGUAAAAAUCCCCCCUUUUGGAAUACUACUCAGCCAUCAAAAAAAUGAAAUCCAGGGGCGCCUGGGUGGCUCAGUUGGUUAAGUGACUGCCUUUGGUCAUGAUCCUGGAGUCCCUGGAGUCAGAUCAAUCAAGGAAAUGCAAAUUAAAAGGACAGUGAGAUACCAUCUUACACCCACCAGACGGGCAGAAAUGCUAAUAUGGCAGACCAGGUGCUCGAGACGGUGAGAAUUAAGAGACUCACUUCCUGCUGGGAGUGUCGGGGAACAUUUUAAAGGCAGUUUGGCUGCAUCUGCUAAAAUGGAUGAGUGUAAAACCCAGUGUAACCGGGAGACGUGACUAGAAUGUCCAUAGCAGCAUAGAGUUUAUAGUAACGAAGUCCGGAGACAACCCAGAUGUUUACCCACAGAACAGACACACAAAUCGCAGUAGAGUUGUGUGGUGGACUAUUAUGCGGCAGGAAAAAAGGAGUAAGCUGCUGUUGUACGAGUCGGAACGAAUACAUUUCUACAAACAGCGUCGAGAAAAAAGUUAUAGAUACAUGUGAUAACCAUUUAUUUAAAUUCAAACACAUCCGACAUGUAAGGACACACAUACGGAUGUGGUAAAACAGCUCAGCCCUCUCGGUAACGUCCUGUAUCCUAAGCGGGGCGGCCAGCACGCGGCUGCUAACAUUGUCAUCACUCCUUGUAGUUGAUCCAUAUGACAGAUCUGAAUGCUCAGGGGACUCACGGGGAGCCUGGCUCCCCUCACUGCUGCCAUCCUUCCUCAAAAAGGACAGAAGUUGGGAGGCUUGCCUACAAUUCUCUUUUAAAGGGGGAGUUUUUAAAUAAUGAUUUCAGUUAUAGAUUUUUAAAAGAUAAAAAUCAGAAGAGAUCCCGUUAGUGACAGGAACACCGGUGAGGCACAGGCAGGGAAAUCACGGCAGGGUGGUGGGCACAAAAGUAGACGUGGUGCCUGGCUUCUCACCCGUGAGAAUAGCCCACAGGCGCCUAACUGGCUCAGCUGAUAGAACAUGUGACUCUUGACCUCAGGGUCGUGAGUUUGAGCCCCACGUUGGGCAUAGGGCUUAUAUUGAGGAGGAGGAGAAGGAGGACCACUGACACCCUGCUAAAGCAUGCUGUCGGGGUUAAUUCACUAGUUCUAAUUGGGUUAUCAGGAUUAAAUGUUGAGUGAAAUGUAGUGUUGGGUUUAUUUAUCCUGUUGGGUUUUUUAAAGGUAUUCUCUGCGCCUAGUAUGGGGGCUUGAAGUCACGACCCCGAGAUCAAGAGUCCUAUGCUCCACCGACUGGGCCGGCCGGGCACCCCUGGCCUAUAUUUCAAGUGAAAUGCCAAGUUGCUGGAAGGGCUCUGAACGUAAAGGCGGGCAUGUCGUCUGCUGCUCAGAAUAAUUGUGAAGUCGCUGACAAAUUGUCCUUAUUGUGCAGCCCUUGGCAGCUUGAACUCUGAAGUUUGCCGUGUGAUCUGCCACGACAUAGUCGUUGGGACACACUUGUCUGCCCUACUUCAGGGAAGUUAUGAGGCUUUGCAGUGUGCAAGUUUCCCGUCCCUCACUGGGUGCUCAGUUCUGUUUAAUAAUGCACUUACACAACAGCUGGUCCGUCCUCCAGUGAAGGACUUUAGAACCAUACUAAGACAAGUGGAACCUGGUCCAGCUGUCCCUCCCUACCCCCAUUUUUCCAGAUGAGGAAACAGGCUUCAAGAGGAAGACCCUUGCCCCAAAAUCAGCAGAGGCUGACAGAAGAGGGACAAAGAAGCAGACAUGUCCUCUCCCUGGGGCUCUUAAAGGAGUGGCCUUUUCCAGGUAGGUGAAAGGGAAGGGCAUGGGCCAAGGUGUGAAGGAGCAGGAUGCUGGGGGGCAAGAGGGGACACUUUAUUGUGGGGUUUGGAGGUGAGGGGAGAAGCAGCAGGACCAGCUUUUGGAGAGCCUGGUGAGCCCAGCUCAGGACCCAAAAAUGACAGCAACCCCUUUCGUGGCAAGGUGGCCAGACCAAGGUGCUCACUGCCUGGUCAACUGGCCACAUGGGCAGAAUCCUAACUGACCGGCAGAUGCCCCCUGCCUCAGUACAGACAAAAAGGAACUGUCAGCUGGGGACAUCACACCCGCUCAUUCCCCCACCUCAAUCAGAAUCAAUAGUCCCUCUGGGUCAGCUGGGCCUGUUCUUCCACUGGCUGAACAAGACGCUGCAUCCAGGUGGGGGUCAGACUAAAGGGCUUUGUCCUUGUGACAGCCCCCGUGACAGCCGGGAUGAAGAAGGGAGCAGGGAGGGUAGGCCCACUCCACCACCCUCAUGGCCCAAGAGAGAUCCAGGGGAGGUCGAGAAGAGGAGCGGGGAAGGCUGGGCAUGCUAACUCUCCCUGUUAGCACUCAGAUGAUUCCAGUUUUGGCUUUUUUAACCUUCCUGCCUUUCUUCCUAUAUGAGGUUUUAGCAGUGAAAUACAUUUUUUUUUUUUAAUUUCCAAAAAUUGCCUCCCAUUUUCUUCUAGACCGUGUUUCCUCCCUACUCACCGAAAGGCUGGAAGCUUUGCCGUGGACUUUUCAGGGCGAGACAUUAAUGGUGGUGAUCUAGACUGGAUCUCACAUAAUUCUCUCCUAAUUCUCCCGUUCACAAGAAAUAAACAAACAUGAAAUCCCUGAACA
Molecule: long non-coding RNA, 5313 nt
Filed under: Ursus maritimus (polar bear)
Lineage: Eukaryota; Metazoa; Chordata; Mammalia; Carnivora; Ursidae
Description: lncRNA (ENSUMAG00000002486.1)
Rfam family: tRNA (bases 3664-3736)
Source: RNAcentral